CUCAAUAGUUUAUUUUUUGUUUGCAAAAUUUUUUGUUUUGCAAGUAUAUAUGGCCCUAGAUUGACUUCAUACAAACACACCCUUUGACAAAAUGAUGGCAAUCACAAGCACUUUGUAUGUACAUUCAAAACUUUAUUCAUGGGUUACAGUGUUGUAGAAAGCUUUUUUCUCCCCCUUCUGAGCCAAUGAUGGGAAUAGACAGCGAAGGAAAACGUCACAGAAAGAGCUUUCUCCGUUUCCUACUGACCACAGACACUCACUUGGAGCAUCCACAAAUCAGCACAACACCAGAUUUUGGAGCUAAGAUUUUUUACAACUUCCAUCAACAUCAGAGCGACUCAUUAUAUCCUAUCUUAGCGAUUCCUUCCCACCUGCUCUGGCCUGUAAGGUGCUAUGAGAUACUUCGGUGAAAGGAUAAAAGAGAGAAAAAAAUAACCUGAAUGGAAAGCGUAUUGAUGAAUACAUUGCUCUGCGUCUGCGGUUGGAGCCGAACACAGCACUGCGUCAUCUGAGUGCCCGGGAAAAAGGGAGGAGGCAGGAAACGUGCAAAACAAAAGAGCAAGUGCUUCAAGAAGUUUCUGGAAGGGGAACAAAAAUGCUCAAGCAAGAAAGAGAGAGAGAGUGAGAAACGAAACUACAGCAUGUGAAUGGACAGGAGGAUCAUGGGUAAGUUUAGAAGGGCAAAAGAAAACGGCUUCAUUCUCGGCAACAGUGCUGUGAUGGACAGGCAUGAAAGCGCACAGAUGGACGGGGCUGCUGACAGAUGGGCAGCAGUGAUGCAUCAUUUUUUCUGUGCAGUCUGAGUGAGCGCUGGCUUGAUUGGAUGAAAUGCUGAGGUGAUGGAAGCCAAUGAUGGUGACAGAGCUGACCGGUGUUUGUGUGUGUGGGGGUCAGUCUGUUUCUCUGUCUUGAUGCAGAGGUGAUGAUGGUGGUAUUUUGGGGAAUGAUGAUGAUGAUGUGGAUCUUUAGUUCUGCAUUUGCUCAAAGAACUUGUAGGUGGGGUUUUCAUAGCCAUUCUGCUGCAUCUUUGCCAGAUGACGUUCUUCAGGAGUCACUGCCGCAUCCACCUGGAAUAGCAAAAAAAACAUGAGUGUUUGCACAUCUAGAAAAUUCUUGAAGGCAGGUGCUUGAUUAAAGCCCUGCUUACACUGAGAUUUCAGCCACGAUUUUGUCAUCUGAGACAAAUUAGGGAAAUCCUAAAAGAUUCCUGAAAUCGUAGGCUAAAAUCGGUGAUCUUUGAUCGUUGGUUUAACAUGUUCACUGACAGCUGCUUACUGCCCGUUGUGAUCAGAUUUUCCUCCGAUGAAGUUCUGGCAGUGUUAGAAAAUUUCAGACACUUCCCUGCAGUGUGACAACAGCUGCGAUGAGCGUCAAUCCAACAGCCAAUAAGAGCUCCGAAUUUGAUGACGCGACUCAUGCGACAAUUUAAACGACCUCAGGGAAAUGUCAAAAUGUUUUUUUCUUCCUGGUUUUAUUAUUGAGACACAGCUUGUGCAAAAUUGCGCUACAGAUUGUUUACAUUCGUCAUGAGGAAUCAUUUCAGAACGUGGUAUAGUAAAAGUGUCGGGUGGAUGACGUCAAACUGGUGGGGACGUUUUCUUCCGUGUUUGGCGUGUCUGCAGUCUGACAUGCUACAAUCGUUCAGGAUUCAGUGUGAGCCAGCCUUAAGCCAAACACAAUUAAAAAAGUUACAAAAAAAAUAAAUAAAAACUGACCCACUGCAUCUGUGAUAUUCGUUUGCUUAGUCGUAAAGUAUGGAAUAGAGUGGAGGAACUAUGACGCCUUGUAGGCCAAUCGACUGCUAGCAUAAAACUGUUUCCCUCGAUAAAAGUUUUAACACAUGUACCGUAUGUUUUAUUAACGUGCCUACAUAUUAUUAUCCUCAUAUGAUAUAUAUAGCAAUAUGCUAUAAAAUUUGAGAAGUGUAAAUAUUGCAGUUAUGAUGGAGUAAAAUGUUUCAGAAGAAGAAAAAACGACGAAAAAUCGUUUGAUCACGUUAAAAUGAUACUUUAAGUUUAUGCACUUUUACAAUUUAAUUCACACAUUUGCGUAACUAAGAGCAGGAAAGAGACAGGCAGCCGUCAGCAGAAUAAAAUCAUUAUACAGCAGUAUAAAAUAGAUGAUCAGCAAAUUAAUCUGUCAUGACUGUCUCUAAAACUGAGGAAAAUACUACAAACUAUAAAAUACUCAUUGACUUUGGGACGAGGGAACCGAAACUGCUAAAAUGCUAACUCACUUCUGGGGUUUUGCAUAGAAAUUGACGUCAUAGUUCCUCCACUCUAUACUGUUUCCACUACUCAUUUGAAUUGAGAUAAUAAUAGUUCAUGACCACUUUUUAGUCAAGUCACACAUUUAAGUGAAUUUUAUAUAAAAUCAUUGUGUACACGACAGACUGUAGAAUUGCUGCUUCACAGACAAUAAUAUUUGAGCAAUUUUUAAAACAUUGAUCACUUUCUGGCUAUUAGGCAUAGAUAUAUACAUGUUGCGAUCAUGAUUUUCUAAAAUAUACCAUCGCUUUGAAAACGUUUAUUAUUACCAGUUGUUGAGUCUCUAUAUAGUUUGAUAGAGCGCUUGGACCCGGAAGCUGCUUAGUGUGACGUCACAACAAAUGGAUAUAAUAGUUUAACAAAUAAGUUAAAUAUUGAUUGAUUUUAAUUUCAUAUACUAUACUUGUGUUUUCAUCUAUAAAAUAGUUUAGUUCCUCAACAAAUCAGAUUUUUACUGAAUAGACUGAGCCUAUUAUUCAACUGAUCCACUUUGUUAAUAAAUGAAUUAG
Molecule: long non-coding RNA, 2776 nt
Filed under: Danio rerio (zebrafish)
Lineage: Eukaryota; Metazoa; Chordata; Actinopteri; Cypriniformes; Danionidae
Description: lncRNA (ENSDARG00000097336.2)
Source: RNAcentral